Molecule: microRNA precursor, 63 nt
Filed under: Panagrellus redivivus
Lineage: Eukaryota; Metazoa; Nematoda; Chromadorea; Rhabditida; Panagrolaimidae
Description: microRNA prd-mir-34 precursor
Gene: prd-mir-34
Source: miRBase by way of RNAcentral
UGGCAGUGUGGUUAGCUGGUUGUUGUUAAUGACCAGUUCAACGGCUAUCUGGCACUGCCCGCC